RNAcentral lists this non-coding RNA (154 nucleotides) under Rhizobium lentis. Lineage: Bacteria; Pseudomonadati; Pseudomonadota; Alphaproteobacteria; Hyphomicrobiales; Rhizobiaceae. The record is from RNAcentral.
CAAGUCCCAUCCGGCCAAAGUCACAGCGGCGAAGCCGGGGCGAGUCUUGCGGGCGUCGCGGUAACGGGGGGGCUGAAGUGUAGACAGAUACGGGUGCGGGAAUGAGCCUCAAAAGUUGAAUGAUCACGGAAGGCCGAGUGGGUUCUGUAGAGCG